Molecule: ribosomal RNA, 497 nt
Filed under: uncultured bacterium
Lineage: Bacteria
Description: partial 16S ribosomal RNA
Rfam family: Bacterial small subunit ribosomal RNA
Source: RNAcentral
GAUGAACGCUGGCGGCGUGCCUAAUACAUGCCAGUCGAGCGAACGGACGAGAAGCUUGCUUCUCUGAUGUUAGCGGCGGACGGGUGAGUAACACGUGGAUAACCUACCUAUAAGACUGGGAUAACUUCGGGAAACCGGAGCUAAUACCGGAUAAUAUUUUGAACCGCAUGGUUCAAAAGUGAAAGACGGUCUUGCUGUCACUUAUAGAUGGAUCCGCGCUGCAUUAGCUAGUUGGUAAGGUAACGGCUUACCAAGGCAACGAUGCAUAGCCGACCUGAGAGGGUGAUCGGCCACACUGGAACUGAGACACGGUCCAGACUCCUACGGGAGGCAGCAGUAGGGAAUCUUCCGCAAUGGGCGAAAGCCUGACGGAGCAACGCCGCGUGAGUGAUGAAGGUCUUCGGAUCAUAAAACUCUGUUAUUAGGGAAGAACAUAUGUGUAAGUAACUGUGCACAUCUUGACGGUACCUAAUCAGAAAGCCACGGCUAACUACGUG